GUCCACUCCGUAAACGAUGAGUGCUAGCUGCUGGGGAUGUUUACCGUCUCAGUGGCGAAGCUAACGCAUUAAGCACUCCGCCUGGGAAGUACGGCCGCAAGGCUAAAAACUCAAAGGAAUUGACGGGGGGCCCGCACAAGCGGUGGAGCAUGUGGUUUAAUUCGAAGCAACGCGCAGAACCUUACCCAGGCUUGACAUCUCGGGAACCCUGCGGAAACGUGGGGGUGCCUUCUCACGAAGGAGCCCGAUGACAGGUGCUGCAUGGCUGUCGU
Molecule: ribosomal RNA, 272 nt
Filed under: uncultured bacterium
Lineage: Bacteria
Description: partial 16S ribosomal RNA
Rfam family: Bacterial small subunit ribosomal RNA
Source: RNAcentral